CUUGGUGGCUGUGAGCGGCGGGGUCACACCUGAUCCCAUCCCGAACUCAGUAGUUAAGCCCGCCAGCGCUGAUGAUAGCCGCAAGGCAAAAGUAGGCCGCCGCCAGGA
Molecule: ribosomal RNA, 108 nt
Filed under: bacterium
Lineage: Bacteria
Source: RNAcentral